Molecule: unclassified non-coding RNA, 220 nt
Filed under: Hevea brasiliensis (rubber tree)
Lineage: Eukaryota; Viridiplantae; Streptophyta; Magnoliopsida; Malpighiales; Euphorbiaceae
Source: RNAcentral
CUUGAUUUAAGUGAUUGCAUGAUGCUUCAAUAUUUGCCAGAGCUUCCACCAGGUCUAGCAGAGUUAGAUGCAGAUAACUGCACAUCUGUGGAAUUUGUAUCGAGAUCAUUCAUACAAGGAUAUAUGAAUUCCUGCUUGAGGAUGAAUCUUAGCAAAUGCAUUAAUUUGGAUAAGAGUGUAUGCAGUGAAUUAAUACUGCUGAAACUUCAAAGCAUGGGAC